RNAcentral lists this ribosomal RNA (552 nucleotides) under uncultured bacterium. RNAcentral describes it as "partial 16S ribosomal RNA". It matches the Rfam family "Bacterial small subunit ribosomal RNA", at positions 357 to 898 of the family's 1533-position model. The record is from RNAcentral.
GGGAAUAUUGCACAAUGGGCGCAAGCCUGAUGCAGCCAUGCCGCGUGUGUGAAGAAGGCCUUCGGGUUGUAAAGCACUUUCAGCGAGGAGGAAGGGUAGUGUGUUAAUAGCACAUUGCAUUGACGUUACUCGCAGAAGAAGCACCGGCUAACUCCGUGCCAGCAGCCGCGGUAAUACGGAGGGUGCAAGCGUUAAUCGGAAUUACUGGGCGUAAAGCGCACGCAGGCGGUUUGUUAAGUCAGAUGUGAAAUCCCCGCGCUUAACGUGGGAACUGCAUUUGAAACUGGCAAGCUAGAGUCUUGUAGAGGGGGGUAGAAUUCCAGGUGUAGCGGUGAAAUGCGUAGAGAUCUGGAGGAAUACCGGUGGCGAAGGCGGCCCCCCUGGACAAAGACUGACGCUCAGGUGCGAAAGCGUGGGGAGCAAAACAGGAUUAGAUACCCUGGUAGUCCACGCUGUAAACGAUGUCGACUUGGAGGUUGUGCCCUUGAGGCGUGGCUUCCGGAGCUAACGCGUUAAGUCGACCGCCUGGGGGAGUACGGCCGCAAGGUUAAA